GUACCUGACUAAGAAGCACCGGCUAAAUACGUGCCAGCAGCCGCGGUAAUACGUAUGGUGCAAGCGUUAUCCGGAUUUACUGGGUGUAAAGGGAGCGUAGACGGAGUGGCAAGUCUGAUGUGAAAACCCGGGGCUCAACCCCGGGACUGCAUUGGAAACUGUCAAUCUAGAGUACCGGAGAGGUAAGCGGAAUUCCUAGUGUAGCGGUGAAAUGCGUAGAUAUUAGGAGGAACACCAGUGGCGAAGGCGGCUUACUGGACGGUAACUGACGUUGAGGCUCGAAAGCGUGGGGAGCAAACAGGAUUAGAUACCCUGGUAGUCCACGCCGUAAACGAUGACUAUUAGGUGUCGGGCAGCAAAGCUGUUCGGUGCCGCAGCAAACGCAAUAAGUAGUCCACCUGGGGA
RNAcentral lists this ribosomal RNA (405 nucleotides) under uncultured bacterium. RNAcentral's name for it is "bacterial SSU rRNA". It matches the Rfam family "Bacterial small subunit ribosomal RNA", at positions 475 to 879 of the family's 1533-position model. The record is from RNAcentral.